Molecule: non-coding RNA, 8209 nt
Organism: Elaeis guineensis (African oil palm)
Lineage: Eukaryota; Viridiplantae; Streptophyta; Magnoliopsida; Arecales; Arecaceae
Source: RefSeq, a predicted model, not a curated record
UAUCAUGGAGCAACCAGCUGGGAAUGAACUUCUACUGUUCUCCUCAGUGGAUGUCAAGAGAACAAGAUACAGAAAUCUGAACAUGUAUGGUCGUCAAACUAUAACACAUCUAUACAAUUGAAUGAAAUUCAUGAUGAAUCAUAUAUAUCUAUUUACUAGGAGAUCUUUCGCUUUAUGAAAGAGGAAUUGGAGGAAGAAAUUCAUUGUAUAGGAUUUACAUGCCUAUAAUAGAUCAAGAUAUAGAAAUCUGAACAUGCGUAAUCAUCAAACCAUAACACUUUUAAUACAAUUGACUGAGGUUUUCAUGAUGAAUCGAAUAUAGCUCUGCACUAAGAGAUCUUUCUUCUAUUCAAGGAGGAAUUUGAAGCAGAAGUUCAUGGUACACAGUGACAUGCCACCUAUCAUUCCAAGGUGUUGGCACUUUAUACAUCUGGACACUUUAGAUGGGAGCAAGAAAUACUGAUGACCAAUGUCUGUCUUAUGCAAUAUAGAUUGAAUGAUGAACAUCUACUGGAGCUUAGGCAUUGUACAUCUGCCUGAUACUCCUUAUAGUUGUCAUGAUGUCAUUCCCUCGCCAUCGUAGGCUUUUUGUGCCUUUGUGUCUAUUUUUAUUCUCAUUCUUCCAUGGCACCGUAAGGAAUGCAUUGAAUUUAUAUUUUGUGAGUUUCAUGUUUUGAGGUUAAGACAAUGUUACUGUCACAGGAAUUUUUGUACAAUAUACCUUUCCAUAAAGCAAGGAAACAUCCUAGCUGGAAUGAGGCCAUUUAUUACUCCACAAUGUUCUCAAGAUGGACACCUAAAUGCAUACAUUUGUCUAUUAGCUCUGUUGUGACUGGUGAUUUUGUGUGCAUGUGCUUGCUAGCUUGCAUGUGUUCUCUACAAAAAGGGUAGGGUUCUCUUGACUUUUAAGUCAUGGUUAUUCAGAUAAGAAUUUGGCAGGUUUAAAGGUGUCCAUGGUUGAUGAGAAUAUUUUGAACUGUCAUAUGUGAAUGUGUGCCAAUCAUUCUAUGAACCAUGCUCAGGAUAAACUUUUAAGAUGUUUCUUUAUUUUUCUUUGGUGCAGUUUUGUUGAUUAAUUCAUUAGAAAACCCUUAUGUAUGAGCAUCUUCUCUGUGCUCAGUUAUAUCUCAGUUAUAUCAAUAGUCUGAUUAUUGGACCAAUUUUAUAGAACUUUGAUGUCAUCUAUAGAAUCUGAAGCUGUUAAGAUUUCAUAUGGAGGUUAUAUUUGACGGCCAAAGGUGGAGGCUUGUAUUGCUUGCCACAGUUCCAGGACAGUUGUGGUUAUGUCACGUAUCAUAUAUUUUAAACAUCAUUGUGGCAGCGUUGUCAUCUUAUUCUGACAAAUAAGUGAGCAAAUAUGAUUUUUUAUCUCCUAUAUCUUUUAUCAUUUCUUAUUUGGGCUAGCUGCAUUCAUGUGAUUUGUGACCUACGAUUGCAACACCAUAAAAGAUCUGUAGUUGAAUCCUAAGUAAUGCAGAUCUUGAAAUUGUCCAUUCUCAAACCUUCUCCUACCUACUCAAUUAUAUCAAACAAACUUAAAAGCAAAAUUGCAAUGGUUUAGAUUGAGAAGAUUUUAAUGAAAGCUGAAGUAGCAACAAAUUCAGGUAUGGAGUUCUUUGACAUAAAUAGACAAGAGGAUAUGAAUGGGGAAUUGGGAAUAACAUGAAAAAUUCAUCCAAUAAUUAAGAAGCAUUUGAAUUAUGUGCUUUUUAGAUGAACUAUUGAAAAUCUGACAAAAAAGGGUGUGCUUAGUAUCUGCAGAGAAAUGAUUACAAGCACUACAAACCAUUUCCUUAAUCUGUUUGGAAAGUUUAUACAGAAAUGGUCCAAUUUUCAUAUUUGUAUUCAAUGACAAUGGCUUUAUUUAUUUUUUCUUUAAUAGUGAUAUAUACAUAUUUUUAACUGAGCUUAACGUCUUCUGGUUUUAAGCAAUAAGUGCAUAAUACAUCUGUGAGAAAAAGAUAUGAAAGAAAUAUUCUAGUGCGGGAAUGCUAAUAAUAGCAGUCUUGAUGGAAUGGAGUAGACUAACUGGCAAAGUCGUGGUAAUUCCCUAAUAUGAUUAAUUUGAAAGUUUUGAAAUUACUCAUCAGGCUGAAGGAAGAGAAGUAUAUAUGUAAUGCAUAUAAUAUUUUGUGUUUAAGGGAAACAUAGUUUGGAAAGGGAUAGGUGGAUUAGAUACAUAGCAUGCUGUUUUGUUCCAAAGGUGAUGCCUUUGAAGUUGUGUGACUUUGUGGUUUAGUUUUUGUUCUUAUGUUUUAUGCUUUUGUGACUUGCAAGACUUUUUUUGGUUUUAUUAAGCCUUUGUAACUUGGGGAGUUCUAAAGCUUCAUAUAGGUCUGUUACAGAGGAAUUUAUUAUACUACUAAACCUGAAAUGUUGCAUUUGGUGAUUCACGAGGUUGUCAGGCUACCUAAGGUGAGGCCAAAUGGGGAAAACGCCUAUGUGGUCUAGGUGGGUGCCUGGGCCUAGGUUCUUAGGCUUCUGCACAGGGAGGAAAGCCGUCCAAGCUUUUAGCAUGCAUACCUUUAGUUAUCUGCAUAGACAAACUUGUGCAUAUAUAUAAAUAUAUCAUCUUUUUCUCCAUAUAUGAAAAGAAGGAGAGCAGCAACAGGCAGGGUGCAAACAACAACCAAGCCACCAGCAACCAGCACCCAGCAAGCAGCAGCAGGAUGAAGAGGAGGGCAGGAAGCAACGGCCAAUAUGUUGCAAGCGAAGAUCAUCAAAGGAGGAGGAGGAGGAGGAGGCAAGCAAAAUAAAGGCUAGCAAGAAGAACAAAAUAGAAAAAUGGAAGAAUGGCUAGAUGAAGAAGAGAUAGGAGUAGAAGGAAAGGAAGAAAAAUCAGAGGAAGUAGGAGAACAUGAAUAUUGGUCUGAAGAAGAAUAAGAAAAAAUACACACAAAUGUGGCAUUGUGCUGGCCAAAUAGGGGAAGGCAAUGGGAAAGGAAACUCUUAAAGAAGGGUUUAGGUUGGUGGAUUGGCAUGGUUUUACAGGGGAAGGUAAUGGGGAAGGUGACAUGGCAUGCAUAUUUUUACAGGGUUGAACAUGUCAUCUAGUAAAAGGCUAGAAAGCAAACAGGGUUGUAUAACUGUUGUUUGUUCCACAUGUGACAUGGUAGGACAUUAGAUUGGAUGUUGCUUUUGCUCUUCCAUUAAUGAUCGGUCACUCCAUGCAUGUUAUAGUGGAUAACUUUUUAUGGGGUCACAUUUUUUUCCCUUGCACCAAGAUGGUUGGCAUGUGUUACAUGAGAAAGUUGUUCUUUAAUGAGAUAGACUGAAUGUUCUCUUGAAGACCAUUGUGUUAGAUCUGGAUCACAAGUUGAUGAGCUAUUUUUGGAGAAGUUUGGAAAAUGCUGAAGAUGACAAUCCAAUUUUCCACUGCAUACCAUCCAUAGACUGAGAAAUAGAUAUAGGAGGUAAAUAUUGGUCUUAGGGGAUCUGUAGAGAUGUUUUAUAGGAGGAGAUCAUCUGUCUAGUUGAUAUACGUGCCUCCAAUGGCAGAAUUUUUUUAAUUAGCUCCUUCAAAAUGACUACUGUCUACCGAUAAUUGUCUUUUUAAGAUUGUAAUGAUUUAUCCUCAGAAACUUGUAGAUUUGGUUUCCCAACCUGUAGCAUCUUGAUUUAAUGAGUUGGCAUAUUCAUUUCAUUUGCAUAUCAUAUGCAUGAUCUACAUGAUGAAAAUGUUGAAGCAUAGCUCUGGGCCAUGAGGGCCGCAAAUCUGCAGUGGAUGUACCAGCAGGUGUUGGUUGUUUGGAGAAGAAGAUGUGGUGAUGAGUUUGGAGUUUGCUAAGUGAGUUUCCCAUGAGAAUCUUGAAGAAAUGAAGCACUAGAAGGACAAUUUGCUAUCUUUUCUUGUGAAAGAUUGGUGCAAAUGGCUAUUAGUUGGAUCUUUCUAAGAUAUGGGGAUCAGCCUUGUAUUUAAAGUGGAGGAUUUGAUGCUCUACCAGGAGCCUACAAACAUAAAUAAUCAGACAGCUAGACAAUGAAAAGAGGAAGUAUAUCUUUACACGGCAACUAGAGAAAUCACGGGUAGGGUAUCGCUUUCAUGAUUAGUAGAUAGCCAGAAAGAUAGCCAAAAGACUGUUGUAUGGCAAAGAAAAGGAACCUAUGUUGAUUUGUUUAAGAACAGAUUGCUUUUUGAGAUGCACAGAAGGUCCCUCAGGCAAUCUUGUAGAAUCACAAGUAGAUUUUAGCAAACAACAAACAGAAGCAUUAAUCAAAUCUCCAAGAUGGCAAAAGGAUGGACUGCUAUAGUGUGAACAGAUUGAUUUCAGGACUGCAGUAGUAAGAAUCCAGGAAGGACAAAAAUUCAAAGUUCUAGACGGCGGCUAGGGUUCCAACAAGAAUCAAAGGCAAUCCUCGUCAAAAAUCUCUAAUGGUGGAGGUAGAGGGCGAUGAAGAAGGUUGAUGAGGAGACGGAAAGUGGCGGCAGCGGUGGUGGUUUAAAAGGCUUUGAGAAGGGAGGAGACAGAUAGAAUUUUUGAGAAGGAAGUUGGAACCUUGGUGCGGCUAGGGCUUUGAAAGUUGCUGGCAAAGAGGAGGGGCUAUGACAUGGGCUGCUGUGGCUAGGGCUGCUGCAGAAGAGCUGUUGCGGCUAGAAAGGGCUGCUGUAGCCUAUUGUUGAAGGAGGGGCGGUGGAGGGCUAGGGUUGUGGAGAGGAUGCGGCAACUGCUCUGAUACCAUGUUGAAAGGAAAAGCUCAAAAGAAAUUUAAUUCAUUAAUGAGAUUCCAUCUCUUUAAAUAGAUGAAAAACAAGUAUAUAAGGAAAGAAGUACAUAUUUGGAAAGCAAGUAUAUACCAUAUUUAGAGAUAUACUAAGUAUGUCCUUUCUAUAUAAGGACUUAAUAAGUAUAAUUCUAACAUCUACUAUUGCACAUUCCGUAGCUCCAUUGGACUUGGUGUUAGUGCUUCCUAAGCCUCCCAUCUCACCUCACAAACUAUUAAGAAAGUGGAUGAGAUUGGGGACAUCAUUGAUGAACAGACAAUUUCUACCUGCAUUUGCGGCUUUCAGAAGUAUUUGUUCAAUUGAAGUGGAUAUCCAGCAUUAGAGAGCAUGUGAAUAACUGCUUAUGAGUUAUAGAAGCUUGGGUUGGAGCUCCUUGAGUGAUACCCACAGCUUUUAUUUGUUGGAGGUGAAUUUUUCCAAGCUAGGGGGGUCGCAGUGGACUUUUGGUGUAUACAAGGUGCACAAUGAUAUGUCUGAGCCUUUGUGUUGAUUGUGCUUGGGAAUUAGGCUAGAAAGCAUCAAAGUCAAGCUAAAGCCAAACUAUAGUUGUUUUUUUUUGGUUGUAUCUAAUUUCACUUAUGGACUCCUAAGGAUUAAUUUUACUUCAGGGAUAUAAUUGCCUAAGACUAUUGAUGGUCUGACAGGCCAUAUAGAAACUUCUUUUAGGGGUUUUAUGUAAAAGAACUGUUUAACCAAUUCAACAUAUACAUGCUUGUUAUUCUAAAUGGAAAAUUUUAGAUCUCUCUCUUUUUAUGCAUGAGAUAUGUUGGAGACAGGUGUGAUUCCCCAUUAUGACAAUGUGGCUUUGGUUAAAAUUUUCCACUCUCUUAUUUGAUCUCUUUGUCAUAUCUUUUCUCCAUUUCCUUCAUGUCCCUUAUGGCUGAAAAAAGUCCAAAAGUGUUUCCUACUUCCUGCCCCAUUGCAACAGCCUGUCUACGGUCAUCAAACCAACCCAUAGCAAGACAGAUCUUAGUGGAGCCAGAUCCAAGAGGGACCUACCAGACCUCUUUCUUCUGAGGAGAAAAGUCUUGUCUUCUGAGAGCAACUCCUAACAUGUUAGACAUUUGCAGAUCUGCUAACAUUAUUAGAGUUGAAGCUCAUCAUUUGUGUUUUGUUUCACUUCAUCUUUUGUUGUUCUCUUAUGGUCCUUGGGCUCUGUGGAAGUCCUGCAGCAGCAAGAACAGCGACAAAGGAGAUAUCCAAUCCUAGGGCUGCCGUGUAUCAUCUAGAAGCAGGAAGCAAGAUACGGCUGAUUCCUGACAGUGGCUCUGCCGCUCCAGUAGUUUGAUUAGCAUCCUUUGAAGACUUUUAAUGGCAUAAAUGUUUGCUUUCGGACACUUGUACAUUUGGCAAUGUUUUUAGUGUUUCAUCUUUGCAUAUAGGUUCAGAAGGGUUGUUUCGCAUCUGUAGGUGCAGCGCCUUUUUUAAGGUGCGGUACCGAUACUGCAAGCUCUUUUUUGUACUUCAUGAUGCAACGGUGAGCUGAACUUGCACAGAGUGGUAGUAGAUGUAUCUGCAUCCUGUGAAAGCUUAAGCUUUUAAAGCAGGUUCAUGAAGUUCAAAUUUCGAGGCUAUGGCAACGCGUUUCAUCUUUUGUAUAAUAUUCGUAAAACAAAUAUUUUAAGUUUCUCUUGCUAAUAUUAUGGCAUGACAUCUCUUUUGAGAUGCAGGUUCCUUGAAAUCAAGAGAUUUGGAGAUCCUAAAAAACCAAAAUGUUUUUAUGAUGGCCAGCAUCAAAUGAAAAAGUCGCCUCCAAUCAAAGGUGUGGUCGUCUUGCUAUUGUAUGCAUGCCCAGAUGGCUGGCUUUAUCGUUACAAAAUUCAUUUAUGUGCCAGCUUGACACUGUUUUUUUCCGGUGCGAUGUACGGAGUAACAAAAAAAUAUAUAUAUAUAAAGAAAAAAUUAUAUAUUUUGUUAAAAUUAAAUAAAAUAAUAAUUAAAAUUAAUUAAUUUAAUAUAAAAAUAAUUAAUAAAUAAUUUUUUUAUGAUUAAUAUAAUUUUUUAUUAAAUUAUAAUAAAUAAUAUUAAAUAUUUAGAAUGAUAUUUGUUAAAUACUUAGAAUGUCAUUUUUCAAAAAAUCAUCAGUCUGAUCCUUGCUAUUAAAUUAUAAUAAAUAAUAUUAAAUAUUUAAAAUAUCACUUGUCAAAUAAUUCAGAAUAUUAUCUGUCAAAAAAUCUUCAAUCUGAUUCUUUCUAUUAAAUUAUAAUAAACAAUAUUAAACACUCCGCUAGUCAAACAUUUAGAAUGUCAUUUGUUAAAGAUUACCAAUUUGAUUUUUUUUUUUUUGUAUUAUAUUAGAUUUUUGUUCUUGCUUCAAUUAUUUAAUUGCUUUGUUUUAUGAGUUUGACACAGUCAAUUUAGGAAACGAUGAAGUUGCAACAAUCCUGGACAGAUCAUGAGUUGCAUGCUUAUUGUUCACCUGUUUAUUUACAUAUAUAGUUAUAUCAGCAUUUGUUUUAAGUUAGAUUUCAUCCUUUCUUUUGGUAGGCUGAAUACAAUAUUCUUGCGUUUUGCUUGUUAUGAGAAAUUUAAGCUAUUUGUUUUUGUAUUUUUGGCUUUUGGGAGGGAAUUUUCUUGCAAUUACAAAAUUUUUUUCUAGUAUUAUUGCCUAGCUCGUAUUGUUCAUAGCUUCUGAACCUGGCGCAAAACUGGACGAAUCUCAGGGCUCUCCUUAGCCCCGCUCAAGUGAAGCAAAGCUCAGGCGCGGGGAGAAAUUAGGAGUUAUUUUAAAUAAGUAUUAUGUAUUGGUUGGGCUUAGGCUAGGUGGAUUUCUACUUGCUGAAAGAGAUUUUUAAAUUACAACCGCAUUUUUUUUUUCUAUUUUUCCUACCAUUUUCUGGAAUGUAUGAUGCGGGGUUCCAUGCGCUGAAUCAUGAGGGGAUGGUUGGUGGAUAGUUGUAUUUUAUUGCUUUAAGAAUUUUCUUAAAAAUAUACUUUUGCUUUUAAAAAGUGCACAUCCUCUCCAGCCAUGCGUUACUUAAGCAGAAGGGGCAUUUAUUUAUUUGUUGACCACUUGACAUUGUGGGGCGUGCAUCUAUGCUGAGGAUGAGGUGCGUGUAUUUUCUUCCUUAUAUGAUGUCUAGUUAAGAUAUUAAUUUAUGGCAAGUUGUAGUUUUUUUUUUUUUUUUUUUUUGAUUGAUGCGUGCUGUUCUUAGGACCGCGCAAAUAGUGUACGCGCCAGACUGCGUGAGUUAGUUAGGACCACAUGGCACAACUAAACAACCGGCUGAGCCAGACCAAAAAUUGGUACACUACGGCAAGGCCUCCGUAUACCAUACUCGUCGAUGCAGUACACGGGGGUGCAUGCUGUGUGCGCCGAACGAUUACCGUGCGUACAUACGCUUGUGGGGCUCUGCUUUCGUCCUUGGAGGCGAACAUAAUGGCGGGUUGGAUGCUUUUUAGGGGCUGAGCGCUCAAAAAGAUCUUGUGAACCAUCUUUAUGCUCUUCAAUAUUUCAAUCGCCGAUGGAUUGGAUUAUCUUCUCUA